UGAUUAAUGUGAAAUUAUUAUUGUAAUUUUAGAAGUCAUUUGUAUGCAUUUCUACUUUGAUUUAUUUGUUUAAUAACUUAAUUUAAUAUUGUAACGAUCCUAAUGCGUGUACUCCCUCGACCAAUAGGAAUGCAGUAUGACAAUAUCUUGAUGCAAUGUGCAUUGGCGGGAAAUCGAGUUGACGUAAGCGUAUUUGGAUCGGUAAAGAGGCAGAUUCCUUUUUGGUAUUAGCGAGUGAACGAUAGCCAUUGUUAAGUAGUGGAAACUCUGUCCAUUUUCUGUCGUAUAUUUUGAGACAUUUAAAGUUUUAGUUUAAAGUGAAAUUUAAGCAAUCACCGAUUUAGUGUUUUAGAUUAUUUUUAUUAUUUUUAUUAUUUUGUUUUUUUUUUUUUUUUUUUUUUUUUUUUCUUUGUUUUUUUUUUUUUUUUUUUUUUUUUUUUAUUCUA
Molecule: unclassified non-coding RNA, 446 nt
Filed under: Melitaea cinxia (Glanville fritillary)
Lineage: Eukaryota; Metazoa; Arthropoda; Insecta; Lepidoptera; Nymphalidae
Description: misc RNA ENSMCXG00005017314.1
Source: RNAcentral